This 363-nucleotide long non-coding RNA is filed under the name Coffea arabica (coffee). RNAcentral's name for it is "long non-coding RNA (CARA_LNC000175)". The record is from RNAcentral. Lineage: Eukaryota; Viridiplantae; Streptophyta; Magnoliopsida; Gentianales; Rubiaceae.
GUUUUACGUAUGGUCUAGGAAACCCUAGUUAUUUUUGUCCACAGGUCCAAAUGUCCUCGUUCCACUUUAAAGUCUUUUAUACGUUCUACUCAUCAUUUGUCGAGCUUCUUUGAUUGCACCUAAUUGUUUGUGAUAAAUGAGUGGUAAUAUUCUUUUCAUUUAAUUUUAGGUUUUCUCAGUGACUAAAGAUAAUAUUCGGAAGGAUAUUUUGCACGUUGUUGUGCGUAAAUAGGUGAGUGUUCUAUAUACGUUUUGUUUCUAUGACUAUGUGGAUUGUUGGGUCUAUGUGAUUAUUUGUGACUAUUUGAUUAAAUGUUACUUGUUUUCUAUGAUUUCUAAAAUGAACUUUUUCUAGGUGAGUGU